Long non-coding RNA from Triplophysa dalaica, 573 nucleotides. RefSeq lists it as uncharacterized. The transcript is spliced from 3 exons. The record is from RefSeq and is a predicted model, not a curated record. NCBI's taxonomy places the organism in Eukaryota, Metazoa, Chordata, Actinopteri, Cypriniformes, Nemacheilidae.
AACAUCAUCUCGUCUAGCUGAUGAGACCACUCACUUCUCAAAAGGAUAACCCGUCCUUCUGUAUGACAUUGAAUAAGUCCAGGACACAGAUUCUUCAGAAGACUGAAUUUGAAUGGAUCAGAUCCUUCAGCAUUCUCAACCAUCUAUAUCCACAUUUAAACAGGAGGAAAUAAAGAAGGGAUUAUAUGAACCGUUUGAGUGAUAAGUAUCAGCCAGCUCACUGACUUUUAUGACUUGUUGCCUGCUGUUCACAUGUUGACAUUUUCAUGUUAUAGUCCUGCAAAGUGAAAACUUCUCAUUUUCUUUCUGGCUAUGUGUAGAAGGUUAUAUUUAAAUUGUCACAGAUUACAGCAACAAACUAAUGGUGUGGUAAAUUUAUGCGAAAUGGCUUUUGCAAAAAUGUCUAUUAUAUAACUGAGAACAGGCGCCUAUAAGCUUGUGUUUUAAAGUAUAUGUCUAUAUAUAAAUACAAUAUCUAAUUAGAAUGUAGCAUUAAUAUUGUAACAUAAUGAAGUUUUUUUUUUGCAUAGUCCCACAAUUAUUUUAUGCAUGAUAAUUGUACUCAGUGUGAUU